This 400-nucleotide long non-coding RNA is filed under the name Triticum aestivum (bread wheat). RNAcentral describes it as "long non-coding RNA (TAES_LNC010544)". Lineage: Eukaryota; Viridiplantae; Streptophyta; Magnoliopsida; Poales; Poaceae. The record is from RNAcentral.
GUGCGAACCCGCCGUGAACACCUGCCCCGUGUGCGCGUCCACCAAGAACGCCUCGCUCCACGUCCUCCUUUCUUGACCAUCGAACUCCGAGCCCCGGCUGGGAUCAAUAGGCAACAGUGGGCAAAGAAAUUAAAACUGAGAAAGAAGAUGAUCUUAAAGUGAGAUCAAAAGGAGGAAGAUGGAUGGAUGGAUGAUAAUGAUAAAAAAGAUAUGCCGCUGGUGAGCAAUAUAGGACCUUGUUACCCAACCUCGGAUGCACGGCGGGGCAAAGCGGCGGCCCGCAGGAGGGGUGCGCAGCGGCUUGGGCGUGCAGACACGGGAUGGCGGGCGAACUCCACCGAAUCUAGGAAUGGGGACAGCGCAGGCCGCAGAUCCGGUGGCGUGAGCUCUUCGUAGANNN